This 463-nucleotide ribosomal RNA is filed under the name uncultured bacterium. RNAcentral's name for it is "partial 16S ribosomal RNA". It matches the Rfam family "Bacterial small subunit ribosomal RNA", at positions 28 to 505 of the family's 1533-position model. The record is from RNAcentral.
GACGAACGCUGGCGGCGUGCUUAACACAUGCAAGUCGUACGGUAAGGCCCUUUCGGGGGUACACGAGUGGCGAACGGGUGAGUAACACGUGAGUAACCUGCCCACAACUUUGGGAUAACGCUAGGAAACUGGUGCUAAUACUGGAUAUGUGCUCCUGCUGCAUGGUGGGGGUUGGAAAGCUCCGGCGGUUGUGGAUGGACUCGCGGCCUAUCAGCUUGUUGGUGGGGUAGUGGCCUACCAAGGCGGCGACGGGUAGCCGGCCUGAGAGGGUGACCGGCCACAUUGGGACAGAGAUACGGCCCAGACUCAUACGGGGGGAAGCAGUGGAGAAUAUUGCACAAUGGGCGGAAGCCGGAUGCAGCAACGCCGCGUGCGGGAUGACGGCCUUCGGGUUGUAAACCGCUUUCAGCAGGGACGAAGCUUUUUGUGACGGUACCUGCAGAAGAAGCACCGGCUAACUACG